This 24-nucleotide non-coding RNA is filed under the name Arabidopsis thaliana (thale cress). The record is from RNAcentral. Lineage: Eukaryota; Viridiplantae; Streptophyta; Magnoliopsida; Brassicales; Brassicaceae.
CACCCUCGAUUUGUUGUACACCGA